ACGUAGCCUGAAAAAAAAAAAAAAAAUUGUAAUCAGAUUGACGAAAAAGAUUCGUAAACAAAUCUCUGUGUCUUCGCUCUUUCUCUCAGUUCUGUUCUUUCGCAAAAACAUUUCUAAACUACGUAUAAUAAUUUAUACGCGAAGUACACAGAAUUUUACAAACUUGUAGUUUCUACUUUUUUUUUUUUUUUUUUUUUUUUUUACAUAAACUCGUAUGUGUUACUGUAACGUCCUACUUUCUUCGUCCUAGUCCCCUGAAAUGUAGGUUUCCCCCACCGUUAUCUACUGCAGUAUCAGGUAUACUUUGUUAUAUUGAGAGAGGGAGGCAAGGAAGCACAUGAAACACAUUGCUUUUAUACUUUUAGUUCGAUGUUGAUUCCGUUCCGUUCAUGUACGACUGGUAUAUGCCGGUGCAUCAUAAAUUUACAUGUUAAGUACGUUACGUGCCGAAAAAUUGACCAGUGACUCUCGAUCAAAUUUUGAUACGUAUAAAACUUUCGUAUUUUUUUUUGUUUUUUAAAAUCUAGUUUUUGUACGGGUAUUUUGAUGAGAUCCGUCAAGAUAAAUCAUAAAUCAUAUUUUUAUAAAAAUGUAGCAUACGGCAAAUAAAACAUCGGAUAAAACGCGAAACGGCGCAAGUUCGAGAUUUCUUUCAAAUAUUAUAUUCUGCAAAUAAAUAAAACAUACAUUUGUAAUGUGAACAUUUUCAAAAUUUCCUUUAAGGAGAGAGAACGCGACUCGCAAUAAAUAAUUGAAAGCAAUGUUUUUUUGUGCCUCGCGUUUAGAAAUUUAACUAGAAAAUUCAAGCACGGAUGAGUAUUGAACUUGGCACACUGUGGACAUAAACUUGAACGUACGUUGUAAAGAGAAGAAGAAAAAAAAAAUAUGAAGAAUAUAAAAAAUAUAUAAAAAAAAGAAGACCGGAAGAUAUAUAUAAUGCAAAGAUGUAUUCGGUGUGCUUGACGGUUUUUCUUGUCGUGUCAAUAUGCAACUUGACCGUCCAGCAGCCAACGUUUUUCAGAAGCACAUUCAAAGGACUAAGCGGUCUCACACCGAGCGCUCUCGUGAGUAAUGAGAUAAGAGCGGUGUAUUAUCACGAACAAACAGUGGCGGUGGUCGAUCUCGGUCCGAAUAACGAAUUACGAGAUUGCAAUGUGAUCGAAGUAUACGAACCGAUCGAAGCUAUCCAGGUUCUACAAAACCUGUCUACGACUUUACAUCCACAAAUGGUGUCUUUCCAGGAGAUAACGAGACUUAUGCAACAGUGCGAGCUAAUAGACAGUCUCCAAGUGGAAACCACGUCCACUUACCCUACAAACACACUGAGCCGAGGAACUCGCAUAGCUGCGAGCUCGAUCACUCUGUUCUCCGGUAUCUUGCCAGGCACAAAAUGGUGCGGUACGGGUGACAUAGCCGAAAAUUAUCACGAUCUAGGUGAUUUACCUCACAUAGACAGGUGUUGUCGUACCCACGAUCUUUGCCCUAUAAAAAUCCGAGCUCAGCAAACCCGAUAUAAUUUGACUAAUUAUUCACUGUACACUAAAUCACAUUGUACUUGCGAUAGCGCUCUUUAUCAAUGCUUAAAAGCUGCCAAUCAUCCGACGGCGAAUUUGAUGGGACAAAUAUACUUCAAUUUCGUCAAGGUGCCAUGUAUAGAAGAUACAGAAAAAUCCCGAUAUUCUUCUUCAGAAUCAUCAAGAAAAUUUGUAUCUGUGAAGAGAGAAUAUUGACUUGAUAGAAUAUACCAGACACACAUUUUCUCUCAUAUGUACGUAAGUCGCCAAAUUCCUUUUUGUCAACAUCCGUUUGUGUUUAUGCAUAAUGUUUAAUUGAGAGAACAGCCUGAUUAAUUCUUGGCAAAAACUCUAUAAGAUU
RNA transcript from Pseudomyrmex gracilis, 1875 nucleotides. RefSeq lists it as uncharacterized. The transcript is spliced from 6 exons. The record is from RefSeq and is a predicted model, not a curated record. NCBI's taxonomy places the organism in Eukaryota, Metazoa, Arthropoda, Insecta, Hymenoptera, Formicidae.